RNAcentral lists this long non-coding RNA (919 nucleotides) under Triticum aestivum (bread wheat). RNAcentral describes it as "long non-coding RNA (TAES_LNC026386)". Lineage: Eukaryota; Viridiplantae; Streptophyta; Magnoliopsida; Poales; Poaceae. The record is from RNAcentral.
UUACACAGACACUCGAACCCAAUCUCCAAAUAUCUUGAGAAUUCUUAUUAGGCUUACGGAAGGGGAGGGAAUGUAGCAACUCUUUUUCAUUAUAUUUUACAAUGUCUAAAGAAGAAAUAUUCUGGUCCAUUGAACAAACUACUAAAAUUGAACAAAGCUAUUUUUAUGAAGUAUAUGGGCUGAUCCACCAUCUGCGCGAUGUGAACCGCGUAGAUUGUGGCAUGUAUGAAAGAAUACCAUGGGAAUAGGACUCCAAGUCUUCAAUGUUUAGACGCUUCUAGGUAGUCUCACGGAUAGAGAAGCAGUAGGAGAAAAGGACUGCAAGAGAGUUGAUCAAUCAAUUAAUUAGAUUGCCCAUCAUCAACCAUGUCUUAUUUACGGAAAAAAUCGAUAGAUUUUCUCAAGACCUUCGAUGUGCCGGCGAAGAAUCCGUCAGAGGACGCGCAGCGCCGAUGGCGGGAGGCCGUCGGCACGCUCGUCAAGAACCGGCGACGUCGCUUCCGCAUGGUCCCCGACCUCGACAAGCGAUCCCAGGCCGAGACGCAGCGCCGCAACAUCCAGGUUCGUCGAUUUGUCCAUCCGAUGAUACACCCUCGAUCUCGCCCACGUUCUUCUUCGCCGAGCUAAGAUCUACUGCCCUGCAACGCCAAUGCAUGCAUCAUGGCAUAUGGCUCUUGAUCUAAAAACUGAUUAAUCGGAUUAAUUUGUUGCAAUCAAUUUCCGAUCUGCAUGGACGACAGUUACGUGGAUCACACAUGUUUUAGAGCGAUCGAAAUUUGUUAGCGAUGGCUGCAAUAGAUGGAGAGAUUGACUGUAUUAGUAACCUCCGUGGUAGAAUUAAGCUGGCUUAAAUUCGCCUUGACCAGGCUUAAAUUUUCUCCUCUGAUGUUUGGUUGCAUCUCCAUAGGAAAAGCUUCGU